GCGUGGAGUGCGGACGGGCAGCCGGUUGGGCUGGGCCCGGAAGGGUGUGCAGUAGAGCAAGAGGAGGAAGUGGAGGGAAAGGAACCAGAUGCUUCUGAGACAGGCUACCAUCUCUGCGUGCAGUCCCCGCGGAAUUUACGCACUUUCGUCUUGUGCUCUUAGAUGUUCUCCAGGUAGACUGCAACCAACACCUUUAGAAUAAACCCACCUGUGCUUGGGCCAGCCUGAGAGGUCUUCAUUCCUUGCUGUCCAGAAAACCUUCAAAGGCUGCAGCAUAACCAGCUUCUAACAUUGUCCACUGGAGCAGAGACUUUGGGAGCCGAGGUGAAGAUGGCGCAACUACCAGAGGGAGAGCUGGAUUCUAGAGUCCCCACUUGCUUGCCUGGAAGGAGAUCUGCUCAGAACUGCCAGGAUGUCAGAACACGGCUCUGUACGAGCUCCUGAGAUCCAGGGCUGUAGUUGUGAGAAUUUGUCCUAAUGCCUCUGGUCUUUGCCUGUGCUUCAGCUUAUUUGGGGGAACAAAACCAAUCUGAUUGCUCUCAACAUCCAGUUGUCACUGAUUGGGUUCAAGGAAAUUAUUUUAUCUUCAGAAAACAUUUUGUUAUUUGAAGCAGCUAUAUAAGUGAGAUAAAUAUAUUUGAUACAUAUGUACAGAUUUAUAUAUAUAUAGCACCAAAC
Molecule: long non-coding RNA, 678 nt
Filed under: Homo sapiens (human)
Lineage: Eukaryota; Metazoa; Chordata; Mammalia; Primates; Hominidae
Description: HSALNT0197272
Source: RNAcentral